CUUGAAGAGUGAUAAUGAUCUGGGCUUGCACCGUGGUCAAUACACCACAAAUAUGUUGUAGUCAGAUCAGUGCCACAAGUUCUGCCUGGUUUCCUCUGUUCUUAUAAGCAAAGCUGAUCCAUAAUAUUGAACUUUCACAUUCCACCUUUGCUGUGGCAGAAAAUUUCAUUAGGGAAAAUGCAGCUGGACUUGGAGAUGAGGAGAAGCAGCAGGAACUGUCUGGCUGCUACUCUGUGUGCCCUGUGAAAGCUCUUCAGAUGUUUUCUCACCCUUAAUUAGGACAAAAGCUAAACCUAUAAACUUCCAGAAAUGGAAAAUAGGAAAACAUUUUCCACUGAGAUAACUUCAACUCGUUCCCUUAUUAUUGCCACUUCUUUUUUUAAUAAAAAAAAGCUUUUUUUGCCAAGUCUCAUUAGCUUAAAACGUUUAAAUGAAAUAGUGAUUGGAGCCGAAUGCUAAAAUUCUUUGAACAUAUUUCUUGCCUGAGUUGGCAAGAUAAAAAGUUUUCCUUAAAAAUAUGCUGUGCUAAAUGAAUUGACCUAAUCCCAGGAGGAGAUGCAGCUUCAGCAGCUCCCUAUCCUAAAAGCAAAAAAAUUGCUUCAUCACAAAAUUCAGAUUGAGCCAAUGACCUGACCAUCUUCCAGCUCCAAGAUGAGCUGGGAAAGAGCAAGGCUGCAUUACAUGACUCAUGCUAUGGGCCAGGAUACGUACCUCGGUCUGGGGCUCAGGGGAUCACAGCCCAGUUUUUGUGGGAAUCACCUCAUUGUGCCUCUGGCCCUCAAUUUCUCAUCUAUAAAACACUUGUAAUGGUAUUUCCUGGUCUCCCAUCUACUUGUCCUGCUCACUCUGAACUCUUUAGAGCAGCCUGCCCCCUGCUUUGCUUAACCCCAACUAAGGGGGGCUCCUAGGCUGGACCCAGCCAAUGUGUUUCACUGCCAUCACCAAGAGUGGACCCACACAAUGGACUUCUGUAGUGUGGGAAGUUAGGAAAGAUGGGCUUGGGGAAAGUUUCAGGGACUGAGCAAAGCCUGUGAGGAAUCCUCUGAUCCAGCUCCGCUACUGAGCAACACGGAAUGCAAGGUUUCCACUGUGCUCAGGGUCAGGACUAAAACAAGAAAGAAAGAAGGAAGAACUGCACCGCCUGGCAACAGCAUCCAAAGACACCCAUCCUUCUGCACCAUCCCUCCUCUGCACCACAGAAACACAGCUGCCAGCAAGAGCCCUCACGCUGCUGAGUGCUCCCAUCCCACCACGGGGGGUACCCAAGAAAGGAGGUCUUAAAGCAA
Long non-coding RNA from Neopsephotus bourkii (Bourke's parrot), 1286 nucleotides. RefSeq lists it as uncharacterized. Lineage: Eukaryota; Metazoa; Chordata; Aves; Psittaciformes; Psittacidae. The record is from RefSeq and is a predicted model, not a curated record. The transcript has 2 exons.